Molecule: ribosomal RNA, 253 nt
Filed under: uncultured bacterium
Lineage: Bacteria
Description: partial 16S ribosomal RNA
Rfam family: Bacterial small subunit ribosomal RNA
Source: RNAcentral
UACGUAGGGGGCAAGCGUUGUCCGGAUUUAUUGGGCGUAAAGAGCGUGUAGGCGGUUCGGUAGGUCCGUUGUGAAAACUCGAGGCUCAACUGGGAGGGUGCGCCGAAUACUGAGAGGCUAGAGUGUGGGAGAGGAAAGUGGAAUUCCUGGUGUAGCGGUGAAAUGCGUAGAUAUCAGGAGGAACACCGGUGGUGUAAACGGCUUUCUGGACCAUAACUGACGCUGAGGCACGAAAGCGUGGGUAGCAAACAGG